UUGAUAGGGUGAACACGAAGACUCAGAAGA
Molecule: non-coding RNA, 30 nt
Filed under: Homo sapiens (human)
Lineage: Eukaryota; Metazoa; Chordata; Mammalia; Primates; Hominidae
Source: RNAcentral